GGUCCUGCGACCUAUCAGGUAGUUGGUAGGGUAAUGGCCUACCAAGCCUAUGACGGGUAGCUGGCCUGAGAGGGUGUACAGCCAGAGGGGCACUGAGAUACGGGCCCCACUCCUACGGGAGGCAGCAAUCAGGAAUAGUCGGCAAUGGGCGAAAGCCUGACCGCGCGACGCCGCGUGCGGGAAGAAGCUCUUCGGAGUGUAAACCGCUGUGGUAGAGGAAGAAGCCCCGCGAAAUCGGGAUUGACGGUACUCUACAAGAAAGGGGCCGCUAACUGCGUGCCAGAAGCGUCGGUAAGACGUGGGCCCCAAACGUUAUCCGGUUUUACUGGGCGUAAAGGGUCGUGUAGGCGGUCCGAUGAGUCUCUGUUUAAAUACUACAGCUUAACUGUAGGAAAGGCAAAGAUACUAUCGGACUUGAGUUUUCUUAAGGGAGACUGGAACUUAGGGAGGAGUAGUGAAAUGCGUUGAUACCCUAGGGAACACCAGUGGCGAAGGCGAGUCUCUGGAAGAUAACUGACGCUGAGACACGAAAGCUAGGGGAGCGAAGCAGAUUAGAGACCUGCGUAGUCCUAGCCCUAAACGAAUGCUUGCUAGCUGCAUCCCUCCCGAUUCAUCGGGAUGGGUGUGGCGGAAGGAAAACCGUUAAGCAAGCCGCCUGGGGAGUACGGUCGCAAGGCUGAAACUCAAAGGAAUUGGCGGGGAGGCACACAACCAGUGGAACAUGUGGUUCAAUUCGAAACGAACCGAAAAACCUCACCAGGGUUUGACAUCCCGACGUACUAUUUUCUGGAAACAGAGAAAAUUCGCAAGAAGGUCGGGACAGGUACUGCAUGGCUGUCGAAAGCUCGUUCCGUGAGGAGUGCCCUUAAGUGGGACAACGAGCGCAACCCCUAUCCUGUGUUAAAAAUGUCACAGGAGACUGCUCCGCCUUUGGCGGGGAGGAAGGAGGGGCAGACGUCAAGUCAGCAUGGUCCUUAUACCCUGGGCUACACACAUGUUACAAUGGGUAGUAACAACGGGUUUGCUAA
This 1028-nucleotide ribosomal RNA is filed under the name uncultured bacterium. RNAcentral describes it as "bacterial SSU rRNA". It matches the Rfam family "Bacterial small subunit ribosomal RNA", at positions 227 to 1253 of the family's 1533-position model. The record is from RNAcentral.